Molecule: long non-coding RNA, 3436 nt
Organism: Orcinus orca (killer whale)
Lineage: Eukaryota; Metazoa; Chordata; Mammalia; Artiodactyla; Delphinidae
Exons: 3
Source: RefSeq, a predicted model, not a curated record
AAUCUGUUGUGGAAAGUUUAGAGCAGGGCUGAACUUGUUCCCAUUUGGCUUUGAUAUUGAAAUGGUGAGGUUUCGUGUAAGAUUCUAGGCCCCUCUGUAUUCCUCCACCCCCUGGAUAAGUAACCUCCCUGAUCAUAACUCCUUCCCAACAGAAGGUGGUCUUUGAGCCAUGACAGGACUGCUUUUGUAUGGGUCCUGGUAAUUCAGGCCUCAGGUCCUGGGACCUUGGAAUUGAUGGUAUCAUAGCUGAUUGAAUUUGCUUUCAAGAUAAGCAGGUUGUAAGAGCGGACUCUCACUAUUGUGGGGAUGGAGAGGAGUUGCUGGCUACUCAAAAGUGACCAUGAUGUAUGUGGGGAUAAGAGCAGGGGCAAGAGUAAACAGAGCCUCUCCACUUGCCCAUAAUCUCUAGCAAGAUCCAGUCUUGUCCAGAAGCCAGUUUCCUCACCUCUGCCUAUUCAUACUAGCAAUGCUCAGUGCAACAGUUCAUGGAUUCCUCCUGUGGGUCAGCUCAUCUACCCCACAUUUUUUGUUUUUCUCUUUUUUAAAGUAGACUUUAUUUUUUUUAGCGCAGUUUUAGUUUCAUAGCAAAAUUGAACAGAAAGUACACAGAAUUCCCAUAUACCCCCAGACCGCACACACACGCACAGCUGCUCCCACUGUCAGCAUCCUGCGCUGCAGUGGUACAUGCGUUACAAUCAAUAAACCUACACUGGCGCUUCGUUGUCACCCGAAGCCCAUAGUAUACAUUUGGGUUCACUCUUGCUGUUGUAUAUUUUAUGGGUUUGGACAAACGCACAGUGAUGUGUACCCAUCGUUGUGGUCUCACAGAGAAUGGUCUCACUGCCCAGAAAUCCUCUGUACCCUUCUUGUUCAUCCCUCCCUCCCCUCUAGUCCCUGGAAACCACUGAUCCUUUCAGUGUCCCCAAAGUUUUGCUUUUUCCGGAAUGUCAUAUAGUUAGAAUCAUACAAUAUGUAGCCUUUUCAAAACUGCUUCUCUCACAUAGUAAUAUGCAUUUAAGGUCUCUGCAUGUCUUUUUGUGACUUGAUGGCUCAUUUCUUUUUAGUGCUAAUAUUCUGUGCCUGGAUAUACCACAGUUUAUUAAUCCAUUCACUUACUGGCUGUGUCCAAGUUUUGACAGUUAUGAAUAAAGCUGCUAUAUAUAUCUGUGUGCAGGUUUUUAUGUGGGUAUGUUUCAACUCCUUUGGGUAAAUUACCAAGGAGCCCAAUGGCAGAUUGUAUGGUAAAAGUAGGUCUAGUUUUUUAGGAAGCCACCUACUGUCUUCCAGAGUGGCUGUGCCGUUUCGCAUUCCCAGCAGUGAAUGAGAGUCCCUGUUGCUCCACGUGUUCGCUGGCACUUGGCGUUGUCACUGUUUUAGAUUUGGGCCAUUCUACUAGGUGUGUAGUGGUAUCUUAUUUUAAUUUGUAAUUCCCUGAUGACAGCGUGUUGAGCAUCUUUUCACAUGCUUCUUUGCCAUCUGUAUAUAUUCUUUGGCGAGGUGUCUGUUUAGGUCUUUGGCCCACUUUUAAUCAGGUUGUUCUCUUAUUGUUGAGUUUUAAGUGUUCUUUGUAUACAGGCAGACUUCAUUUUAUUGCAGUUUGCUUUAUUUCUGCUUCACAACUAUUGCAUUUUUUUUUUCAAAUUGAAGGUUUGUGGCAACCCUUUGUCGUCAGAUGAUGGUUAGCAUAUUUUAGCAAUAAAGUAUUUUUAAAUUAAGGUAUGUAAUUUAAAUUAAGGUAUGUAAUUGUUUUCUUAGAAUACUAUUGCACACUUAGAAGACUACAGUAUAAACAUAACUUUUUAAAACUUAUUUAUUUAUAUUUUGGCUGCGUUGGGUCUUCGUUGCUGCACGCGGGCUUCCUCUGGUUGCAGCAAGCAGGGGCCACUGUUCGUUGCCGUGCAUUGGCUUCUCAUUGCGGUGGCUUUUCCUGUUGCAGAGCACCGGCUCUAGGCGCGCAGGCUUCAAUAGUUGUGGCACACGGGCUCAGUAGUUGUGGCUUGCGGGCUCAGUAGUUGUGGCACACAGGCUUAGUUGCUCCGCGGCGUGUGGGAUCUUCUGACCAGGGCUCGAACACAUGUCCCCUGCAUUGGCAGGCGGAUUCUUAACCACUGAGCCACCAGGGAAGUCCCUAAACAACUUUUAUAUGCACUAGGAAACAAAAAUAUUCACUUUAUUGUGUCUAGUUGUUCCAGCACCAUUUGUUGUAUUGUAUUGCUCUUUGAUCAGUUGAAUCUGUGAGUUUCUUUCUGGGCUCUCUAUUCUGUUCCAUUGAUUUAUGUGUGUAAUCUUUUGCCAGUACCACACAGCCUUGAGUACUCUAUAGUCAAGGUUGAAGUCAGGUAUUCUCAGUCCUGCACCUCUGUUCUUCUCCAGCACUGUGUUGGCUGUUCUCACCUUAUCUACCCUGAGCCCCCAAGCAGUCUGUCAAUUACAGUCGGAUUCUCCCACUGUGAUACUGGUUCCUGUGGAAGUUUGAGUUUGUGGAUUUCUGCUCCAAGAAGUUACAGUUCUCUGUAUUUACCUGUCUAGCUCCAAUUCAAGGGAUAGCAGUUUGCCCUGUGGCCUCACUUCUCUGACAGAAAGUUGUUGAUUUUUCAGUUUGCUCAGCUUUUUACCUGCUAGAACAGUGACAAUUUCCAAGCUGUUUACAUCCUGGACCAGAAACCAGAAUGCCUAUCCCCUGUUUUUAUCUACUAGAGUCGUUCUCAAAUUUGGAAGAGGUUUGAGACACCAUCCAGUGCAUCCCUGUAGGUGAUGUUUGGGGAGUACCUUCCCCUCCCCCCACCAUACACACAAACACCGCCCUCUACCCCAUGGACAGUUGAUUGCCAGGGAUGUGUGUCCAUUCAACUUAGCUCCAGUGGUUAGAACACUCUUGUUACACCUCUCUUUGGUCUUAGUUUUGCCCUUUACUGAAGGCAGGUACAAGGAGGGGAAGAGGAGAGAGACAGGCUGUAGGCUCUCCCUGAAGGGCCAGAGGCAGCCCCGUCCUACCCUGCAGUCUCCUAGAGGACAGUGGAUGUGACCAGACUGCUCGGGGACGCCAGAGAGCAGCACAUAUCCUCCUUUGAGCUCAUCCUCCCAGAAUCCUACACCAAGAAAUGGAAGAAUCCUUAGAGAGCAUCUAGUUCAAGCUUUCCUUAUACACAGAUGCAGAAAUAGAGGCCAGAGGGAUAGAAGGAGCAGACUGCGGAUCACAGGGAAUCAGUGGUGGAGACCAAGCUUCCUGCCUCCUACCUUCAGUCCCCUUGGAGCCUUAGAGCUGAAAUCCUUACCCUGAUCAGAGUGAAAAGAUGAUGAGGACUGAGCCCAGGCUCCUGUCUCCACCUCAGUUUUCCCCAUAAUGUGAACGCCAAAAUGAGCAGCAGCAACUAGUAGCGUCUGCUUUCUUGGCAAUUCAGUGAAGGCUAUGCUGAGGACAAGAACACGCAAGCCA